CGUGCCUCGUAUGCUGUUGUCAGAGCAAAACACUUUUGCUGCUUAAAGUCAGAUCUACGUCCUUUGCAAUAAUACUUAAAAAAAAAAAGGAUAAAUAAUUGCCUUAAAGCCUCAGCCGAACUGCCAACCACACCUUCGGAUGUCAGAAGGCAGAAAUAUGUGAACUGCUGAGAGAGCUACCUUCUUAAUCGACGGCAAAUCCCCACUCUGGAGGAUCAGGCCCUAUCUGGGCUACUUCUCAGCCAAGGAAUGUAUCCGUCCCUUCAUCUCCACAUAUCUUACCUGUGAUGUAUUCUACCUUUUGAGGAGGGAAUAAUAUGCUAUUUACCACAAAGCACAGCUUCAAAGCCUUUGUGUGUUUCUCAUCUCCAGCCAAAGCUUGUUAUUUACCACCUUCAAAAUUUACCCGGGUAAGGGAUAGUAGCAGUUAUUGUCUUCAUUUUUACAUCCUAAUUUUCACACAGCAAAUGCCCUGCAUUAGGGCCAGAUCCUCACUCAGGUGGAAGUUAUUAACUUUAAGCAGAAUCGAGCCUAUUUCAGCCAGCCGCAGCUCGUGCCCUUCUAACACAGUUGCUUUACAGCAUCCCCUUGUUUAUUUUUUUCUUUGGAGGGCAUGAUUCUUUAAACAUGUUUGUUUUACAGGGAGCAGCAGUUGAUUCCUAACUUUUUUCCCCCCGCAAACAUGUAAAGAGAAUAUUAAUAGGGAAUAUUAAUAGAGCUGAGUGCAGCAUGACGCUAGUUAGAUUGUAGUAGCUGAGAAAUAUGAACUAGUGAACAUAAUCCAUAAACUCCAUUUGGUUACUAUAAUACUCCAAUCUGUAUUUAUUACAACCCCACUCUGAUGCUUAUACAACUGCAAUUGCUAGAUUUAUACACUCUAAUGGCUUCACAAUAGGAAAAACCUGUGUUCUUUAUCUUUCUUUUCCUGUCCAAAAUAACCCCUUCCACAUAUACUUCAGGCUUCUCCGGACCUUGUCUGGGUUUAAUCAUGGGCUGUGGGACAAAAUGUGCAUUAUUAAGAAAUAUAAAUAUUUUCAGAAGCAAUCAAAGGGUUGAAAGAUUGAUUCGGCAUGUAGAUUGGAUUUAAUUCGAAGCAGCUUUGUUCUAAUGAGGACUACUGGGAUACAAAGACGGCAGCCGCUUAUGGCCACCAGUUGGGAACUUCGACUCGCUGCAGCAACCUGUCAAGAAUUUCAAGAAACUGCCAGGAAUUUGGAAGAUGCCCACAUCUAAGACAAUGGUGAGGAUUGGGCCAAAAUCUAGAUCCAGCCUGGAUUCCUCCAUCUGAGUAGUCCUGUCCUGAGCUAUGACUGUUGACGGAUCGCAGCGAUGUGGACCUUUCUCUCGCCUUACUCCCUGGCAUCAGAUCACCACGAGGGCCUGAGAUAAUACUAGAUGAACCAUCACAAGACCAGGAUUGGAAAGUGUGGGGACCAAGCACAUGGGGAGGUGGUCGGUGCAGCUGGUUCCCUGACUGUCGCUGGGUGGUGGUUCAGCUCUCAGUCACGGCCCAAGCUACCAGAAGUCGGAGAAACAUCGCAUGGUCUGUUCCUGUCCUGGCUCCUCCUUAUCAGUGCUUCCAGCUGUAUGAAGCCCUGAGAACCAAGGCAACAUGAGUGCGUGACCAGGUAUUUGCUCCUCUCAUGGUCUAUACCUGAAGCACAGCACAGAGUUUCAUCCUUUGCUUCAGCAGGAGAGGCACAGCCUGGUUUGCUACAAUGCAACUGUCCUCAUUAAUGUACUUCAAGCCCUGACAUACUGGGACUACCAUUAUUGAUGCCGUCUUAAUCUCUGGUUUUGGUGGGAAGACUAUGCAGUCUCAGUGAUACUGUGCCAUCCUGUUCCCUGCUUUCAGGCUGGGGUCACAAUUUGGAUUUGGAAGAAGCAACUUCCAUGCAGAGAUGUGACUGGAAUAUGAAUACUAUUCCAGGUCAUGACCUCACUGCAGUUCCUGGAUUCUUUCUGAAAAGAUUAAAAUGAACUAAUAUACCAGUGAUCUCAUCGCAGUGUAAAGGACAUCUUACACAGGGAAAAAAACCCCAAACCAGGAGAACUUCAAUACUUGGUUUGCAUCAAGAGUAGAAAAAGCACUAUAACAUCAUCGUGGAGAAACACUAAAAGGUACAAUGCCAGAGAGGCAUUUUUCCGUCUUCUUAUAAACUAUUUGGAUUUGUCCUACUUGAUCCUGCCUGUCACACCUGUCAUCCUUUUAGCUGUCUCUGCAUCUAUUCUCUUUCCUUUUUUCCUGCCUUUACCUGUACAUUCCCUUGUCUCUUCUGUGCCCUUCCUACAUGUUUUAAUGUACCUGAUUACUUUGAAUCACAUACACUACUAUUCUCAACUACAUCCAAAAUACAUUUUGCAGAUUAUAGACACACUAUCAUGUUAUACAGAAGUAUUCACACAUCAUUUAUAGCUUACGUUAUUCUGGGUAAGAACCCCUUUCCUACAUGUAUAUACAGUUCUCAGGCCAGGGGGUCAUGGAUUAUGACAGCUCUCAUCUACUUUGGAGCUGUUAUAUCUUCUAACAGAUAUCAGGAGGAUGAGUAGGGAGAGAUGAUUUGUUUUCUUUGUUAUGAGAACCCAUAAAUUAGUAUUCAUGUAAUGGAGAAUCCCACCACGUUUUUAAUGUUGUAUCACAUUCUGAGGUUGGAAACUAGAAUAUCUUCAGAACAUGAUGAGUAUACUGUUAAUAAUGUAAUCUUAUCUGUUGCGCCCAUAGGUAUGCCCCAGCUCUGGCUUGAGCUCACACCAUUAGGCAAUGAGGUGACAAACCGGUUUCCUUUCUCAAGCCGAAUGUCACGUAACUAACUGCCCAGGGGCCCAUUUUGGUGGUGGUAGCAUCCCCUGACUUUUCAAGGAGAUAUGUGCCGGUGUGACCCGCUCCACCCUGUAGGCUUGGCAGGAGGAAACAAAACCGCUCAUUUCCAUCUGUGACAUUUCUCAGCCAGGAAGAAAGCCAUGAGGCAUCAGACUGUAGGCUGGGAGGCAUCAGAGCAGCCACUUGUUAGACACUCACAAAAACCCCUCCAAAAACUAUCAAGUGGAGAUGAGUUCCUGGGUUAAGCAAGCUGAUAUAAUGGGUGAUGAUACCUUCCUACCCACCCAACAAGAUUUGUUACUCCUCGAUGGAGUAACAGACAAACAUAUCCAACCCCAAAUGCUCUGCUGUUGAUAUAUCUGGUUUAGUGAAGAAAGCCCCAAUCAGUGAUGAAUAUUAUAGGAUAAAUACAUCCUGCAGCAUUAGUAGAAGUUCCAAAAGGCCCAAGGAGCAGUGCAAAGCAUCUGUUACCAACAAGAAAAUAGUGGGUGAAAAGCUGUUGUAAUUCCUGGCCCCAGGAGCCUGUCUGGAGGCACAGACUUCCCAAGGCAGACGGGAGUUGGAGAACUCUGGAUGUUCAGUGAGAUCUCAUCCCCCUGCACAUUCACCAGGUCAGCUCGGUCCAGGCCAAAGGAGCCGGGCAAGGUCCUCGGCUCUACUCCAAGUUCAUUGCUCUAUUGAUUGUGAAGAGGUACUUACAGUAGAUCGGAAUCUUGAACCGAGACUGGCCUACCAGCUGAAGCUGUAUGAACUAAAUCGUAUAUUCCCCAACUACAGAUAAAACCAGUGGCCAAUUUUAGCCUAAUCAUCACUUCCACCAGCGGAAAGAGAAACUCUCUGAGGUUUAUUCCUAAAUCUGUUGGAAAUGGAAAUGAUUCCAUUGACUCCAACAAACUCUGCUUUCUACUGGAUUAAGGAAGAUGUUUGUACAUCAGAUUUUCUGGUGAUGUCCCACUAAUGAAACAUGGAAUUUUAUAAACACAUCAGGGAGGGUAAGUGCCCAAGAAAGACAAGUCAGAUAGAGAUCCAGAAAUUACAGUCUACUUGUAACAGAAAUAAAACAAGGAAUGCUUACUAA
Harpia harpyja (harpy eagle) is the source of this 3899-nucleotide long non-coding RNA. RefSeq lists it as uncharacterized. NCBI's taxonomy places the organism in Eukaryota, Metazoa, Chordata, Aves, Accipitriformes, Accipitridae. The record is from RefSeq and is a predicted model, not a curated record. The transcript has 9 exons.